AGAGUUUGAUCCUGGCUCAGAUUGAACGCUGGCGGCAGGCCUAACACAUGCAAGUCGAGCGGAUGAAGGGAGCUUGCUCCCUGAUUCAGCGGCGGACGGGUGAGUAAUGCCUAGGAAUCUGCCUAUUAGUGGGGGACAACGUUUCGAAAGGAACGCUAAUACCGCAUACGUCCUACGGGAGAAAGCAGGGGACCUUCGGGCCUUGCGCUAAUAGAUGAGCCUAGGUCGGAUUAGCUAGUUGGUGAGGUAAUGGCUCACCAAGGCGACGAUCCGUAACUGGUCUGAGAGGAUGAUCAGUCACACUGGAACUGAGACACGGUCCAGACUCCUACGGGAGGCAGCAGUGGGGAAUAUUGGACAAUGGGCGAAAGCCUGAUCCAGCCAUGCCGCGUGUGUGAAGAAGGUCUUCGGAUUGUAAAGCACUUUAAGUUGGGAGGAAGGGCAUUAACCUAAUACCUUAGUGUUUUGACGUUACCGACAGAAUAAGCACCGGCUAACUCUGUGCCAGCAGCCGCGGUAAUACAGAGGGUGCAAGCGUUAAUCGGAAUUACUGGGCGUAAAGCGCGCGUAGGUGGUUUGUUAAGUUGGAUGUGAAAUCCCCGGGCUCAACCUGGGAACUGCAUCCAAAACUGGCAAGCUAGAGUAGGGCAGAGGGUGGUGGAAUUUCCUGUGUAGCGGUGAAAUGCGUAGAUAUAGGAAGGAACACCAGUGGCGAAGGCGACCACCUGGGCUCAUACGACACGAGGUGGAAAGCUGAGCACCCU
Molecule: ribosomal RNA, 764 nt
Filed under: Pseudomonas agarici
Lineage: Bacteria; Pseudomonadati; Pseudomonadota; Gammaproteobacteria; Pseudomonadales; Pseudomonadaceae
Description: bacterial SSU rRNA
Rfam family: Bacterial small subunit ribosomal RNA
Source: RNAcentral